This 72-nucleotide transfer RNA is filed under the name Phrynosoma platyrhinos (Desert horned lizard). RNAcentral describes it as "tRNA-OTHER". Lineage: Eukaryota; Metazoa; Chordata; Lepidosauria; Squamata; Phrynosomatidae. The record is from RNAcentral.
GGCAGCAUGGCAUAAUGGUUUGAGUUUUGGACUAUGACUCUGGAGACUAGGGUUUGAAUCCCAGCUCAGCUA